GACGAACGCUGGCGGCGUGCUUAACACAUGCAAGUCGAACGAAGUGGCGAACGGGUGAGUAACGCGUAAUCAACCUGCCCUUCAGAGGGGGACAACAGUUGGAAACGACUGCUAAUACCGCAUACUGAAGGUGGGGAUUGCGUCUGAUUAGCUAGUUGGAGGGGUAACGGCCCACCAAGGCGAUGAUCAGUAGGCGGUCUGAGGGGGUGAACGGCCACAUUGGGACUGAGAAAAGGCCCAGAAUCCUACGGGAGGCAGCAGUGGGGAAAUUGUCGGAAUGGACGGAAGUCUGACGGAGCAACGCCGCGUGAGUGAUGAAGGGCUUCGGGUUGUAAAGCUCUGUUAAUCGGGACGCGGUACCGGAAUAGAAAGCCACGGCUAACUACGUGCCAGCAGCCGCGGUAAUAC
This 408-nucleotide ribosomal RNA is filed under the name uncultured bacterium. RNAcentral's name for it is "partial 16S ribosomal RNA". It matches the Rfam family "Bacterial small subunit ribosomal RNA", at positions 28 to 526 of the family's 1533-position model. The record is from RNAcentral.